UACGUAGGAUGCAAGCGUUGUCCGGAAUUAUUGGGCGUAAAGCGUACGUAGGCGGUUCGUUAAGUCAGGGGUUAAAGACUGAGGCUCAACCUCAGGAGUGCCCUUGAUACUGGCGGGCUUGAGGACGGCAGAGGAAAGUGGAAUUCCCAGUGUAGCGGUGAAAUGCGUAGAUAUUGGGAGGAACACCAGUGGCGAAAGCGACUUUCUGGGCCGUUCCUGACGCUGAGGUACGAAAGCGUGGGGAGCAAACAGGAUUAGAAACCCCCGUAGUCC
Molecule: ribosomal RNA, 273 nt
Filed under: uncultured bacterium
Lineage: Bacteria
Description: partial 16S ribosomal RNA
Rfam family: Bacterial small subunit ribosomal RNA
Source: RNAcentral